CCACAUUUAGUUCAUAAGUGGGUUGGUCGCGCCCACUAACUCCGGCUCCAUGGGAACCGGGACUUUUGGACGAAGAACUCGGUUGAACCGCGAGGAGGAGGAAGAUUUGUGACAGCGCACAAGGAAGGACACGCCUGCUCGUUACAUCGACAGUUUGUGUGGGUAGACCGUGCGUGUUGUUCUGACGGAGAAUUUAUAAUACUCACCUCUACUCAAUGAACCUACCUUUCGCUUGUUAUUUUGUCCCCGACGGUUGUGGUUUUCUGCGUCAUAGCAACAGAGAUGUAAAUCAAGUUAGCCUCCACCUCUUCAUUUGAUAUGCAGCUACUGACAUAACCAGGAGCGCUGAAGUGACAGAGUGCAGCGGAAGAUGGACAUCCGGAGUGGCAUACAAAAGGCAGUGGAGCCCCUCCCUGCCUCUCUCCCCUCUUCCCCUCAACAGUCGGGUGCCCAUCAGCAGAGCGAGCCGGAGGACAGCCAGGCAGAACGGAGUGCCAGGCCCACCGCUGACAACCACAGCAACGACACCCAGCCAGCCGCCGGCCACCGAGACGACAAAAAAUAUUUCAGUGUGGAGUCCAUUGAUGGAGUCCAUAUGUUUCAUGAAGCCAUUAGAAGACUGUUGCUGACUGAGAUGAGUCUGGCACUAACCCAGAACUAUCAGAAGCAUCUUUCUUUCGGCUGCUGCUGACAACAACUGCAUUCAGGCAACAACCCAUACUGUACUGGCGGUAGAUAGCCCAGCGGCUAAAGAGGUGGACCUGUGGCCAGUUCAAAUCCUGGGCCAGGUGCUGGAAAAAACGAACGGAAUUGAUCUGACAACUGGAGGGCUGCAGGGUACAUAUCCUCAAAACAUUCACCUACCGUUGGGCCAUUGAGCAAGGUCUUUAACCCCACAACAUCUUCAUCCAGGGUCCGCUGCACUGCAGCUUCAAUCUGUGCUCAUCUCGACUGUAUGUCUGCUGUUUGGGGGUUUAGAAACAGAGCAGAAGGCACAUUUUUUUGGUUUGCUGUAACUAAUGGACAAAGUUGUAUUGUAUUUUAUUGUAAAGAAGUCAGCCGGAGUUGACAUGGGCCAUCAUUCAAACAAAGAGAAGUCAGCCGGAGUUGACAUGGGCCAUCAUUCAAACAAAGAGAAGUCAGCCGGAGUUGACAUGGGCCAUCUUUCAAACAAAGAGAAGUCAGCCGGAGUUGACAUGGGCCAUCAUUCAAACAAAGAGAAGUCAGCCGGAGUUGACAUGGGCCAUCUUUCAAACAAAGAGAUGUCAGCCACAGUUGACAGCCAGAGUUGACGUUGGCACAUUUCCAAAUUAUGUUUGCAUAAAAUGACAAUCAAUUCUAAAAACUAUGCAGGUAUUCUUUCGUCCAUGAUUUAAUUGUUUAUUAAAUUAUAUUCUUAGCAAAAAAUAUGACUAUUUAAUAGUAGUAGACAUUAUUCAUAAAUGGCACCAUGCAAGGUUCUUUAUGGAACCAUUUUGUUUCAGUGAAGAAAAACCUCUAGGGUUCUGAUCAAAGAACCCUAUAAAAGGGUUCUAUAACUUUUAGGGGUUUCAUAUAUGGAGAAAGCGAUGGAACACUUUUUAGUUCUAUAAGGAACCUUUUUUUCUAAGAGUGCAUAUGUCUGCUGAAAAGAGAAAAGAGAGCAUGAGAAAAUGAGAUUUGAUCAGUCAUAGAAAUAAAAGUGCUGAAAACAUGUUUGCUCACUAUUUAAAAAGAAGAUGGAGAACAAGCUAUAUGAUGAAAAAUACCAGAGUUUUGGUGCAGGUACAUCUGACUAGCGCUAGCUAACGCUGCCUACUGUAGCAAAGCAAAUAAUAAUAUAUAUCUUGACUUGGAGUCAAAGUAUCGAUAUACUGUUUACAUUUAUACAGCACACAAAUUCAACCUAUCUCCGUGUACACCAUUUUCACAGCAAUGAGCGUAAACACCUUUUCCCCCUUCACUCACACAUUCACACUACGGGACAAGUUUGUAAAAUAAAUCUCAGCCCCCAAGCUGCUUCACAGAAAGAGGCCUUUUGAUAAAGCUAUCUCCAGUUUGGUGCUGGUAGUUGGAUGAGCUCUCAGUCUCUAAUGGCCAGAUUAAGAUGCUCGGAGUUGGAUGAUGAAUCCUGCUGAUUGCACCUUCUGCAGUCAAUCCUCUUCUCUACUUUCCUCUCAGCGGCAGGCAGCCACUGCAUGCUGGGAGGAAAAUUACUGCAGUGGACUCCAAUCUCCUGGUCUGUCUGGUGUGAGCAGCUAACACUGACCCUAGCCGUCCAGGACAGAGCUGCUUAACAGUUCUUACUGUACCCACCGAUCAAUAGUGGAUUUAGGGAAUUACUGGGGCUAUCGUAUAAUUUCUUGCACCCUGCGCAUUCAUAAAUGUUCCUCUGAAUCCAAGAUCCGUUUCUGCUGGGGGAAAUCAAUAGCCGUCCGGUAGGCCAGCUGUUGGAUUUUUAUUACUUCUGAAAUCAGAUCACAAGUCUCUGCUGCUGCAAGAUACUGGGGAGAGAAGCAAAAGGCAACAUUUAGACUAGUUAGUUCAUAAAAGUAACAUGUUUCCCACCCUUCACUUAAAAGGAAAAUGCAUUGAAUUACAUGCAAAUGGAAAUGGAUUGUCACGCCCUGACCAUAGAGAGCCCUUGGUUCUCUAUGGUGUUUUAGGUCAGGGGGUGUUGUAGUCUUUUCAUUUCUAUGUUGGUGAUCUUAGUAUGGUUCCCAAUUAGAGGCAGCUGAUGUUCGUUGUCUCUAAUUGGGGAUCAAACUUAAGGGUUCCCUGUUCCCACCUGCUUUGUGGGAUAUUGUUUGUAUAUGUGCAGGUAGCACUACGUUACUUUACGUUUCGUUGCUUGUUUAUUGUUUUUGUUUGAAAGUUUCACUUAAAUAAAAGAUGUGGAACUCAACACAUGCUGCGCCUUGGUCCGCUCUGUACGACGAUCGUGACAGAAUAUCCCACCAAACAAGGACCAAGCAGCGUGCAACGGAGGGAAAAGUGAGUUGGACCUGGGAAGAGAUCAUGGGAGGAGGCGAGACCCUUCCUUGGUGGGAGUCGCCAGGAAAUCAGGAAGGACAGUGAAGACGCCGGGGACCGCGGCCACAGAAACCCCAAGAUUUUUUUGGGGGGCAUGAGGGGUGGUCGGCCGAGCCAAGGAGAGAGCCAGAGCCCGCCUGGGAGUCGACGGAGCAGUGUGAGGAGGGAUAUCGGAGAAUGAUGUUGGCUAGGAGUAUGCUGCAGCACAGGCGUGCUGAAGAGCGUGACACCAGUCUGGUGCC
Molecule: non-coding RNA, 3254 nt
Organism: Salmo salar (Atlantic salmon)
Lineage: Eukaryota; Metazoa; Chordata; Actinopteri; Salmoniformes; Salmonidae
Source: RefSeq, a predicted model, not a curated record